GGCUUGAGAGGGCGACCGGCCACAUUGGGACUGAGAUACGGCCCAGACUCCUACGGGAGGCAGCAGUGGGGAAUAUUGCACAAUGGGCGCAAGCCUGAUGCAGCGACGCCGCGUGCGGGAUGACGGCCUUCGGGUUGUAAACCGCUUUUGACUGGGAGCAAGCCCUUCGGGGUGAGUGUACCUUUCGAAUAAGCACCGGCUAACUACGUGCCAGCAGCCGCGGUAAUACGUAGGGUGCAAGCGUUAUCCGGAAUUAUUGGGCGUAAAGGGCUCGUAGGCGGUUCGUCGCGUCCGGUGUGAAAGUCCAUCGCUUAACGGUGGGUCCGCGCCGGGUACGGGCGGGCUUGAGUGCGGUAGGGGAGACUGGAAUUCCCGGUGUAACGGUGGAAUGUGUAGAUAUCGGGAAGAACACCAAUGGCGAAGGCAGGUCUCUGGGCCGUCACUGACGCUGAGGAGCGAAAGCGUGGGGAGCGAACAGGAUUAGAUACCCUGGUAGUCCACGCCGUAAACGGUGGAUGCUGGAUGUGGGGACCAUUCCACGGUCUCCGUGUCGGAGCCAACGCGUUAAGCAUCCCGCCUGGGGAGUACGGCCGCAAGGCUAAAACUCAAAGAAAUUGACGGGGGCCCGCACAAGCGGCGGAGCAUGCGGAUUAAUUCGAUGCAACGCGAAGAACCUUACCUGGGCUUGACAUGUUCCCGACAGCCCCAGAGAUGGGGCCUCCCUUCGGGGCGGGUUCACAGGUGGUGCAUGGUCGUCGUCAGCUCGUGUCGUGAGAUGUUGGGUUAAGUCCCGCAACGAGCGCAACCCUCGCCCUGUGUUGCCAGCACGUCGUGGUGGGAACUCACGGGGGACCGCCGGGGUCAACUCGGAGGAAGGUGGGGAUGACGUCAGAUCAUCACGCCCCUUACGUCCAGGGCUUCACGCAUGCUACAAUGGCCGGUACAACGGGAUGCGACCUCGUGAGGGGGAGCGGAUCCCUUAAAACCGGUCUCAGUUCGGAUUGGAGUCUGCAACCCGACUCCAUGAAGGCGGAGUCGCUAGUAAUCGCGGAUCAGCAACGCCGCGGUGAAUGCGUUCCCGGGCCUUGUACACACCGCCCGUCAAGUCAUGAAAGUGGGUAGCACCCGAAGCCGGUGGCCCAACCUUUUUGGGGGGAGCCGUCUAAGGUGAGACUCGUGAUUGGGACUAAGUCGUAACAAGGUAGC
Molecule: ribosomal RNA, 1206 nt
Filed under: metagenome
Description: bacterial SSU rRNA
Rfam family: Bacterial small subunit ribosomal RNA
Source: RNAcentral